RNAcentral lists this ribosomal RNA (459 nucleotides) under uncultured bacterium. Its description in RNAcentral is "partial 16S ribosomal RNA". It matches the Rfam family "Bacterial small subunit ribosomal RNA", at positions 338 to 795 of the family's 1533-position model. The record is from RNAcentral.
CCUACGGGAGGCAGCAGUGAGGAAUAUUGGUCAAUGGCCGAGAGGCUGAACCAGCCAAGUCGCGUGAGUGAAGACGGCCCUCCGGGUUGUAAACCUCUUUUGUCGGGGAGCAAAGCGAACCACGUGUGGUUCAUUGAGCGUACCCGAAGAAAAAGCAUCGGCUAACUCCGUACCAGCAGCCGCGGUAAUACGGGGGAUGCGAGGGUUAUCCGGAUUUAUUGGGGUUAAAGGGUGCGCAGGCGGAGGUACAAGUCAGCGGUCAAAUUGCGGGGCUCAACCCCGUACUGCCGUUGAAACUGCAUCCCUUGAGUGCGCGAGAAGUGUGCGGAAUGCGUGGUGUAGCGGUGAAAUGCAUAGAUAUCACGCAGAACUCCGAUUGCGAAGGCAGCAUACCGGCGCGCAACUGACGCUCAUGCACGAAAGCGUGGGUAUCGAACAGGAUUAGAUACCCGAGUAGUC